Molecule: ribosomal RNA, 274 nt
Filed under: uncultured bacterium
Lineage: Bacteria
Description: partial 16S ribosomal RNA
Rfam family: Bacterial small subunit ribosomal RNA
Source: RNAcentral
AUACGGAGGGGGCAAGCGUUGUUCGGAAUUACUGGGCGUAAAGGGCGCGUAGGCGGGAAGUCAAGUUAGGGGUGAAAGGCCUGGGCUCAACCUAGGAACUGCCUCUAAAACUGGCUAUCUAGAGUCCGGGAGAGGAUGGCGGAAUUCCCAGUGUAGAGGUGAAAUUCGUAGAUAUUGGGAAGAACACCAGUGGCGAAGGCGGCCAUCUGGUCCGGCACUGACGCUGAGGCGCGAAAGCGUGGGGAGCAAACAGGAUUAGAAACCCCAGUAGUCC